AGAAGUUGUUAGCUGGUAGGUAUGAUUAGCUACCAUCUCUCAGCUUCAUU
RNAcentral lists this microRNA precursor (50 nucleotides) under Echinococcus granulosus. Its description in RNAcentral is "microRNA egr-mir-10273 precursor". Lineage: Eukaryota; Metazoa; Platyhelminthes; Cestoda; Cyclophyllidea; Taeniidae. The record is from miRBase by way of RNAcentral.